This 368-nucleotide long non-coding RNA is filed under the name Elaeis guineensis (African oil palm). RNAcentral's name for it is "long non-coding RNA (EGUI_LNC008193)". Lineage: Eukaryota; Viridiplantae; Streptophyta; Magnoliopsida; Arecales; Arecaceae. The record is from RNAcentral.
UUAUGUAUAGAAAUUCUUACUUUUAGUGAUGAUAACUCGAUCACAAUCGUUUACUAGUCUACUCUUAGCAUAUCUGAGCAAUCCAUAUAAUGCAAACCCAUCUUUGAUCAAUCAUCAGUAUAAAAAAUAAUAAAUUAUUAUUAGAUUUCUAUUUUCAAGCUUUAAUAUACAAAAUACUAUUAAAUCUCAAAUUUUUCCUCCUAGGAUCAACCAAGAUCAGGAUUUAUUUAAGUACUUGGAUCCUCCACUGGUCCAUAAGUCUUCUAGAGAGAAUCCAUGAAGAGAGAGGAGAUUCUAGAGAGAGAAAAUCCUAAAAAUAAAAUUAGAGAGAAAUUAGAAAGAGAAAGUGGAGAGAGAGUAGAGAGAGG